GAUGAACGCUGGCGGCGUGCUUAACACAUGCAAGUCGAACGGAAAGGCCCAAGCUUGCUUGGGUACUCGAGUGGCGAACGGGUGAGUAACACGUGGGUGAUCUGCCCUGCACUUCGGGAUAAGCCUGGGAAACUGGGUCUAAUACCGGAUAGGACGAUGGUUUGGAUGCCAUUGUGGAAAGUUUUUUCGGUGUUGGAUGAGCUCGCGGCCUAUCAGCUUUUUGGUGGGGGAAUGGCCUAACAAGGCGUCGACGGGUAGCUGGCCUGGGAGGGUGUACGGCCACAUUGGGACUGAGAGACGGCCCAGACUCCUCCGGGAGGCAGAAGUGGGGAAUAUUGCACAAUGGGCGCAAGCCUGAUGCAGCGACGCCGCGUGGGGGAUGACGGCCUUCGGGUUGUAAACUCCUUUCGCUAGGGACGAAGCGUUUUUGUGACGGUACCUGGAGAAGAAGCACCGGCUAACUACGUG
This 468-nucleotide ribosomal RNA is filed under the name uncultured bacterium. RNAcentral describes it as "partial 16S ribosomal RNA". It matches the Rfam family "Bacterial small subunit ribosomal RNA", at positions 28 to 507 of the family's 1533-position model. The record is from RNAcentral.